Molecule: long non-coding RNA, 880 nt
Filed under: Homo sapiens (human)
Lineage: Eukaryota; Metazoa; Chordata; Mammalia; Primates; Hominidae
Description: HSALNT0069332
Source: RNAcentral
GCAGAUUUAAAAAAGGCAGGAGUUGUGUCCUAGAGAAACCUUUUCUUCCCUUGAACUUUUUCAGAAAAGCUUUCCUGCUUUGGGCCCUCAUCUCCAGAGGAAUCCAUUGUGCAAAAUGUAGAAUACGGACCUAUAGAAAUAUUGGCUUAUUAACAUGUAUUUUUCUUUGGCAUUGCCCAUGCAUGCGCUAAAUGCAGACUUUUCAUUUUUGGGAAGGGUAAGGUGAGCUAUUUAAAUUUACUUGAUUUCAGGAAAUAUCCACAGAGACAUCCUAGACCCUCAAGAACCUUGCAUCUGUGUUCAAACAGUUGAAUUUAAACAAACAGUUGUGGAAGCCGGAAGUUCAAAAUCAAGAUGUCAGCAGUGUGUGUCAGUUCCUUCUGGAGUCUCGAGGAAGGAUCCGUUGUAUGAGUCUCUCCUUCCCUCUGUGCUGCAACUCCUGAAACCUGAAGUCUGUGACUCACCAGUUCUAAGCCCCAGAGUCCUGAUGGGGCACCUCAAGGAGACACUUCAGCCACCUAAGUCAGCUGGACCACCCCAUGACACAGUCAUGGAGGUUCCAGUCUGAAUUCAGAGUCAAUGAUAAGGGAGGCUUCCGUGGCAGAGUGAAAAGCACACACCUGAGAAAUGAAAAGAAAUGGCAAAGGUCACACGUCUCAGGAUGAAUUGCACUGUGUGUGACACCCUAGCUGAAAUCCUAUCCCACAGGACCAUCAGCCUGGAAUGCAGUUUGAAGAUAUGUGCAGAAGAAAUGCCCAAGCCGACCCCGGACCUACAGUGAGAAGCAGAACAGCCCAGAGAAGCUCAGCCUAGGGCAACAGAGACAGCCUAGUCAACCUACAGAUCUGGGACAAUAAAUGCUUCUGCUUUUAAGCCACCG